CUCCGACUCCGAUGAGGAAGACGUGGGUUCCGAUGACGGGGUCCGGGUGGAGGGAGGGGGGUCUACUCGCGUCGGAUCUUGCUGAUGGAGCGGAUGCGCCGGGCUGCCAGUCUCUGAUGAAGUGGGACACCUCCGACCGGCGAGGUGUCAAGAGGGACUGGGCAACUGCGACGCGAGUGCGUGAUCACCCAUUUAGCCGAAAAGGAGACGAAGAAGAGGACAACUCACUCCGCGUGACUCCGCCACGGAGGAUUCAUAAACACACACCAGUAGACCCGCGCAGCGCACAGCGGCGGAUAUUCACCAGGUUGCGCCACGUCUCGGUUUUUUUUCCUUCCACGCAGGAACUCCGGAGCUACAAUGUGAAACUGAUUCAGUAUGUGUGUGUGUGUGUGUGUGUGUGUGUGUGUUUUGCCUCUAGGACCUCCCCUAUUCAUUUACAAAAGUCAGUAAAUACAGCUGUCCUUCAACAAAGCUACAAGACAGGUCUACCGUGACACACGCCACCACGGGGCGUUAUUGUUUUUGUUGUUUUCAAACGGAAAUAACCUCCACCAAAGGACACCUCUUUACGUACCUUUUUACGCACCUUUUUACGCAGUGGAAAGUGACUCCAUGAAGCGCUUUAUUAUGCCGCAAAGAGGUUUCAUGUACCGGGAAACCUUUUAAAGAACGUCUCGGUCUUACACUGUAAUAAUACAGCACGAGUCAUGCAUCAAUAAUAGCUUAAUAAAUAGGAUAAUGUUGGUGUAAGUGAGUAAUACUCAAUAAAAAAGUCAAUGAAUGAUGA
Molecule: long non-coding RNA, 790 nt
Organism: Pseudoliparis swirei
Lineage: Eukaryota; Metazoa; Chordata; Actinopteri; Perciformes; Liparidae
Exons: 2
Source: RefSeq, a predicted model, not a curated record